UACGUAGGGACCGAGCGUUGUCCGGAAUCAUUGGGCGUAAAGAGCGUGUAGGCGGCCACUUAAGUCCUGCGUGAAAUCUUGCGGCUCAACCGCAAGCGGUCGUGGGAAACUGGGUGGCUAGAGUGCGGGAGAGGAGAGUGGAAUUCCUGGUGUAGCGGUGGAAUGCGCAGAUAUCAGGAAGAACACCCGUGGCGAAGGCGGCUCUCUGGAACGCAACUGACGCUGAGAUGCGAAAGCGUGGGGAGCAAACAGG
Molecule: ribosomal RNA, 253 nt
Filed under: uncultured bacterium
Lineage: Bacteria
Description: partial 16S ribosomal RNA
Rfam family: Bacterial small subunit ribosomal RNA
Source: RNAcentral